UCUUCGUGUGAAACUGAAAAAGUCCAAUCCCAAAGUUGGUUUUGAGUGCGUGUAUGUUACGUGUUUUUGUUUUGUUUUUUUUUUUAUUCCUUCCUCUAUUUUUUCUCUGCAUUUACUCCUCCUCUGAGCAUCUUCGACCCGCAGGGCUACCUGGCUGCUAAUAGCGUAGACGUGGCGGGCCUGGGGGUUCCUGUUCGCCUAGCUCACAGCGCCACGCCGACUACACAGCACCGAAGGGCCCCGAAGGCAACCCGGUAUCCAAGACUGGCUCCCGUGGAGCAGCAGUGGCCGGGAGAGAGGCAGAAAGGCAGAGGAAGGUGUGCCGCACCCAGUUUCGGAGCUGAUUUCCAGGCCCCACCCAUUCCUGCCCUCCCGGUCCUCUUUAACUGUGGAACUUGGAGUGUUCCUGCGGGCGAAAAAAACGAGAGAACAGAAGGGGAGCCUAGAGAGAGCGAAUAUUGUUUUAAACUUAAGGAUAGGCAAUUUCUUUUUUCUUCAAGAUACUAGGGCAGCCUCCUCCCACAGCCCUUCGGGGUGAGGGCAGCUUGCUGAGCCUCUGUUAAGCUUACAAAAGAGCCUCUGGGGAGCAGAGAGAGGAGCUAAAAAUACCUCCGAAGCUAGGCCCGAGGUCCGGGAGGAGCUCCUCACUCGCUCUCGCUCUGGCCCUGCCCAGGAGGGAGCUUUCGCCUUUUGCAUUCCGAGGGCCGGGGCCGGCGAGGCUAAGGGCCCACACUAGUUUUGCCUUUACUUUGCGACCAGACCAGGCUCUUUUGUGGCUACGCCUGUUACUCUUAGUAAAGAAGACCUCCAGUCCAAUCUCCGGUAAAAUCAGAAAAUCAGAUGCCACUCUUUUGAUGCUUUCCAAUAAGCCCCCUCCACAGACUCAGUUUUUUAAAAGAAAAGAGAUGGGACCGUUAGGCCCUAUUUUAUACCAGAAACAAUCCGGUCACGCAAGGAUUCUUCUCAGGUUGGUGUAAUGCGCUGUGUGGAUGUACGCAGUUACUUGCAGUCCUGGGACACCAUCUGAUUGUGAAAGAACCGGUGAACCCCUUAUUUCAGCCCUCUCCAGAAAAAAAAAAUAGCAGUUACUUCCCCCUAGUGUCCCCCUUUGGUUAUCGGUAAAAAACGCAAAACUCCUUAUAUAAAGGCAAAACACACAAUGAAUUUCAAAACUCCCGCUCGCCCCCUCUGGAAGGCAGCUUUUCUUUUCACUGCCCAUGCUGGAUGAAAGUGGUUUAUUUUGAUUUUUUUUCUUGUACCCACAUGCCUUGUAAAAGGUUCCUGUGCACGGGCCUGGCCCCCCUCCGAUGACCGCAGGGCCUUGCUUCCAGACUGCAGUCCCCACCACUUGGUUUUUAAGUCCUCGCCUGGAGCCGAGGUGUAAUUGUGACCCCGCCCGAGCCCCGAGCCUCCCGGGGGGACGGUUGGCCCGGCCUGCUUUGGGGCCGGGACCUCCCAAGUGGCGGCCUGGGCGCCGGGAGCCUCGUGGUCCUCUCCUUCCCUGCCUCCUCCCUCUCUCCCUCCCCUGUAGACUUUGCUCGUUUUCUCCUCGUUUCCCCAGCUUGCUAAGCACUACGGCGCACAAAAUUUCUCUCCACUUUUUUAGUUUCCUCUUGCCGUUUCCUUUCUAGCACCUUAUCACCGCUCUCUCGGCCCCCUUCACGUUGAGAUCCCAGACCCAGGGAAGCAAAGUAGGGCUUUGUCGAACUAUGCGGGGAAGAACUGGGAGCCUCUGGCCCCCUCGGCGCCGCGGUGGAGUCGGAACCCGGUGCGCCUCUGCGUAACGUCAGCGCGCGGGGUAAUUUACCUUCCCUGGGCGUCUGUCAAUAUGACUAAUUUCCACAGGGGUCAAAAAGCCUUUCUCCGGCAGUCCAUCUUGGAACGCUCUCUUACGCAGUAGACGGGGUUGGUUGUUUUGUUUCCAACCCUAGAAAUAAAUACUCUUGGGGCGUCCCUGCCAGGGCAGCCUGAGAGGAGCAGAGGAAUAUACACGGUGUCAAUUAAAGGCAGUUUUCCUUGAA
This is a long non-coding RNA of Homo sapiens (human), 2021 nucleotides long. Lineage: Eukaryota; Metazoa; Chordata; Mammalia; Primates; Hominidae. The record is from Ensembl.